This 125-nucleotide small RNA is filed under the name Marmota monax (woodchuck). The record is from RNAcentral. Lineage: Eukaryota; Metazoa; Chordata; Mammalia; Rodentia; Sciuridae.
ACCAGGUAUGGUGGUGCACACCUGUAAUCCCAGCAAUUCUGGAGGCUGAGACAGGAGGAUCACAGGUUCAAAGACGGCCUCAGCAGAAGUAAGGUGCUAAGAAACUCAGUAAGACCCUGUCUCUA